RNAcentral lists this ribosomal RNA (598 nucleotides) under Campylobacter jejuni. RNAcentral's name for it is "partial 23S ribosomal RNA". It matches the Rfam family "Bacterial large subunit ribosomal RNA", at positions 614 to 1216 of the family's 2925-position model. Lineage: Bacteria; Pseudomonadati; Campylobacterota; Epsilonproteobacteria; Campylobacterales; Campylobacteraceae. The record is from RNAcentral.
AAUGAGCCUGCGAGUUGUGGUGUCUGGCAAGGUUAAGCAAACGCGAAGCCGUAGCGAAAGCGAGUCUGAAUAGGGCGCUUAGUCAGAUGCUGCAGACCCGAAACGAAGUGAUCUAUCCAUGAGCAAGUUGAAGCUAGUGUAAGAACUAGUGGAGGACUGAACCCAUAGGCGUUGAAAAGCCCCGGGAUGACUUGUGGAUAGGGGUGAAAGGCCAAUCAAACUUCGUGAUAGCUGGUUCUCUCCGAAAUAUAUUUAGGUAUAGCGUUGUGUCGUAAUAUAAGGGGGUAGAGCACUGAAUGGGCUAGGGCAUACACCAAUGUACCAAACCCUAUCAAACUCCGAAUACCUUAUAUGUAAUCACAGCAGUCAGGCGGCGAGUGAUAAAAUCCGUCGUCAAGAGGGAAACAACCCAGACUACCAGCUAAGGUCCCUAAAUCUUACUUAAGUGGAAAACGAUGUGAAGUUACUUAAACAACCAGGAGGUUGGCUUAGAAGCAGCCAUCCUUUAAAGAAAGCGUAAUAGCUCACUGGUCUAGUGAUUUUGCGCGGAAAAUAUAACGGGGCUAAAGUAAGUACCGAAGCUGUAGACUUAGUUUAC